CCUACGGGUGGCAGCAGUCGAGAAUCAUUCACAAUGGGGGAAACCCUGAUGGUGCGACGCCGCGUGGGGGAAUGAAGGUCUUCGGAUUGUAAACCCCUGUCAUGAGGGAGCAAAUUAAAAAGAUAGUACCACAAGAGGAAGAGACGGCUAACUCUGUACCAGCAGCCGCGGUAAUACAGAGGUCUCAAGCGUUGUUCGGAAUCACUGGGCGUAAAGGGUGCGUAGGCUGUUUCGUAAGUCGGGUGUGAAAGGCGCGGGCUCAACCCGCGGACGGCACAUGAUACUGCGAGACUAGAGUAAUGGAGGGGGAACCGGAAUUCUCGGUGUAGCAGUGAAAUGCGUAGAUAUCGAGAGGAACACUCGUGGCGAAGGCGGGUUCCUGGACAUUAACUGACGCUGAGGCACGAAGGCCAGGGGAGCGAAAGGGAUUAGAUACCCCAGUAGUC
Molecule: ribosomal RNA, 446 nt
Filed under: uncultured bacterium
Lineage: Bacteria
Description: partial 16S ribosomal RNA
Rfam family: Bacterial small subunit ribosomal RNA
Source: RNAcentral